Molecule: ribosomal RNA, 468 nt
Filed under: uncultured bacterium
Lineage: Bacteria
Description: partial 16S ribosomal RNA
Rfam family: Bacterial small subunit ribosomal RNA
Source: RNAcentral
GACGAACGCUGGCGGCGUGCUUAACACAUGCAAGUCGAACGGACAGGCCCUGCUUUUGUGGGGUGCUCGAGUGGCGAACGCGUGAGUAACACGUGAGUAACCUGCCCUUGACUUUGGGAUAACUUCAGGAGACUGGGGCUCAUACCGGAUAUGAGCUCCUGCUGCAUGGUGGGGGAUGGAAAGUUUCGGCGGUUGGGGAUGGACUCGCGGCUUAUCAGCUAGUUGGUGGGGUAGUGGCUUACCAAGGCUUUGACGGGUAGCCGGCCUGAGAGGGUGACCGGCCACAAGGGGACUGAGAUACGGACCAGACUGCUACGGGAGGCAGCAGUGGGGAAUAUUGCACAAUGGGCGGAAGCCAGAGGCAGCAACGCCGCGUGCGGGAUGACGGCCUUCGGGUUGUAAACCGCUUUCGCCGGUGACGAAGCGUGAGUGACGGUAAUGGGUAAAGAAGCACCGGCUAACUACGUG